Molecule: microRNA precursor, 88 nt
Filed under: Pelodiscus sinensis (Chinese soft-shelled turtle)
Lineage: Eukaryota; Metazoa; Chordata; Testudines; Trionychidae
Description: miRNA (ENSPSIG00000019861.1)
Source: RNAcentral
GGACUAACACUAUAUAUACGUAUAACUACGUGUGUGUGUGUGUGUGUGUGUGUGUGUGUAUAUUAUACACACACAUAUAUAAGACUAC